Oryza rufipogon (brownbeard rice) is the source of this 193-nucleotide microRNA precursor. It matches the Rfam family "MIR812 microRNA precursor family". Lineage: Eukaryota; Viridiplantae; Streptophyta; Magnoliopsida; Poales; Poaceae. The record is from Rfam.
UUUAAGUGUAACCAUGACUCGUAUUUAACUUUAAUCAUUUAUCUUAUUUAAGAUUUUUUUUAAAAAAUAAAAACAUAAGUCAUGAAUAAAUUAUUAUUCAUAUUUUAUCAUCUAAUAACAAACAAAAUGCUAAUCAUGAAAAAAAUUAAAUAAGAUGGAUGGUCAAAGUUAAAAAUGAGAGGAAGGAAGUAAA